Molecule: long non-coding RNA, 1347 nt
Organism: Erinaceus europaeus (western European hedgehog)
Lineage: Eukaryota; Metazoa; Chordata; Mammalia; Eulipotyphla; Erinaceidae
Exons: 3
Source: RefSeq, a predicted model, not a curated record
AAGGACCUGGUCCAGACAGAAGGGGACACUCACAGUAUGACCAGCCUUAGCCAAUCAAAAAACACACUCCCCCAGUCAAGUCUGAAUUUCAGAUAAACACCACUGGGGAUUUACACACAAAAAAUUAGUUGUUGUUUUUCUGAAAUUCACAUUUUGCCAGGCUUCCUGUUUUGUAUCUGGCAGCCCUUAACAUUCAGCACCUGGGGCAGAACUCCAACCUCCCCCAUGGCCACCAGGGACAAGCCAUUGGCCUGCCCAAGUAUGAUCAUCGUCAUCAUCAUUAUCAUCUCUGGGGUUUCACUUCUCUGGGCUGGCUUCUUCAGACAGAGAAAACAGACAUCAGACAGAAGGAAAAACACCUCCAAUGUGGUGAGCACCGGGACUGAACCUGGAUCAUAAACAGAUGGCAAAGCAGAUGUAUUAUCCAGGUAUGCCAGUCUUGUUCACUGAUGCUGCAAUAUCAUUUCAAGCCCUAGAGGAGGAUCCAUGUCUAAGAUGACUUACAUAUCUAGCUGGCAAGUUGGUGCUAGCUGAGAGCCUCCAGUCUUUCCACAGAGCUGCCUGAGUGUAACAUGGCAGCUGGCACUGACAGUGCAUGUCAUCCAAAAGACCAAGAUGGAAGUUGGCAUUUUUUUUUAGAUUUGGAAGUCACACAGUUUGCUUCCUCUGUAUUCUACUGGUCAUGGCAGCUACAAAGGCCUAUCUAAAUUCAAAAAGGAGGGAACAGACCCUUUCUCUCAAUGGAGGAGUAAGUACAACAUGGUAUUGUAAGAAAACAUGGUAAAAACAAAAUCUGCCAAGGUCAUUUCCAAUAUUUUGCUAUUAUCAAAAAAUGUUGGUAAGGACAUUUUAAAGAUUUUUGGUAUGUGGCAUCAAAUUCUCUCUACAAAGUUUUGCAAAUUUAUUUUGCCACCAGUGAUGAUUGAAAAAGUCCAUUUCCUGAGAUCAGAGAGGUGGCUUAGUAAUUGAGUAAAGGGCUGGCUGUUUUGUGUGAGGCCAUGGGUUCAAGCCCUGGCGUUGCUUAUACCAGAAUAAUGCUCUGGUUCUCUCUGUCCGAAAAAAAAAAAAAAAAGGUGGUGGGAAAAGCCAUGAUGCAUUUUUGCAUAGUAAAACAGAAAAAUACAUCAUGACUUUUCCAACAAGCCAAUAAGUAAAGAAAGAGUCCAAUCCUUCAUGUACCAGUACAAAAUUUAUUUAAAAAAAAAAAACUUUGCCGGGGGCUGGGAGAUUGAUCACCUUGCAGAGUACACACUAUGCCUGGCAUAAGGACCUGUGUUUGAUCUCCUGGCUCCAUACCCCAUGUCUCCAGCCAAUACAUGUAGUGCUGGGGAUCACACUCUGGACCCC